ACUACGGGUGGCAGCAGUGAGGAAUAUUGGUCAAUGGGCGGAAGCCUGAACCAGCCAAGUAGCGUGCAGGAUGACGGCCCUACGGGUUGUAAACUGCUUUUAUACGGGAAUAACGCGCCUUACGUGUAGGGCUUUGCAUGUACCGUAUGAAUAAGGACCGGCUAAUUCCGUGCCAGCAGCCGCGGUAAUACGGAAGGUCCGGGCGUUAUCCGGAUUUAUUGGGUUUAAAGGGAGCGUAGGCCGCAUGUCAAGCGUGCUGUGAAAUGUCCGGGAUCAACCCGGGCCUUGCAGCGAGAACUGGCGUGCUUGAGUCCGCGGAAAGCAGGCGGAAUUCGUGGUGUAGCGGUGAAAUGCUUAGAUAUGACGAAGAACCCCGAUUGCGAAGGCAGCUUGCUGCAGCGGAACUGACGCUGAUGCUCGAAAGCGCGGGUAUCGAACAGGAUUAGAUACCCGAGUAGUC
Molecule: ribosomal RNA, 460 nt
Filed under: uncultured bacterium
Lineage: Bacteria
Description: partial 16S ribosomal RNA
Rfam family: Bacterial small subunit ribosomal RNA
Source: RNAcentral